Non-coding RNA from Glycine soja, 85 nucleotides. The record is from Rfam. Lineage: Eukaryota; Viridiplantae; Streptophyta; Magnoliopsida; Fabales; Fabaceae.
CCGACCUUAGCUCAGUUGGUAGAGCGGAGGACUGUAGUUUGUAACAGAUAUCCUUAGGUCGCUGGUUCGAAUCCGGCAGGUCGGA